GGUUAGAGAAGGACCCAAAUAAGAUUUAUUGGUGGAAUGUAGUAUAAGAAAGUUAAUUUAAGUUUUCCCAUAGCUUCAUAAAAGGUAAAAUUUUUAAUGAAACCUUUUAAAACUUUUAUUCAACCCAUCUAAUCUAUGUAAGUGUAAUCAUAAACUAGGAUUAGAUACCCUAUUAUUUACACCUAAAACUGCCGGGGUAGUAAAAGAUAUUCUUCAAACCCAAAGAAUUUGGCGGCACUUCAUUCUCUUCAGAGGAACCUGCCCCUUUAUCGACAAUCCACGCUUAACCUUACCUUCCCCCAUAGUUGGUAUACCGCCGUUGCCAGAUAAUUCCCCCAAAAUAUUAUCAAACCUAACAAUUUCAAAGACUUCAGGUCAAGGUGCAGCUGAUGAAAAGGUGGAGGUGGGUUACAGUAAUUCAUAAAUUAUACGGAUAAUUCUAUGCAAAAGAAUUUGAAGGUGGAUUUGAUAGUAAACCCCUCUUAGCAAAAGGGGUUGAAAUGAGCUCUGAAAUGUGCACACAUCGCCCGUCGCUCUCCCUAGUAAAGGGAGAUAAGUCGU
RNAcentral lists this ribosomal RNA (561 nucleotides) under Caenestheria sp. BA-2002. RNAcentral's name for it is "partial 12S ribosomal RNA". It matches the Rfam family "Microsporidia small subunit ribosomal RNA", at positions 431 to 1273 of the family's 1311-position model. Lineage: Eukaryota; Metazoa; Arthropoda; Branchiopoda; Diplostraca; Cyzicidae. The record is from RNAcentral.